CAUUUCCGCUGGCGCUGGGCGGGUGAGGCGUUUCCUGUUGUUGUCGCUGCUGCCGCCGGCCCCAUCCAGCGCCGUGCCACGCUGCCCGGGUCCAACUCCCGCAAUCUCCAGACAUCCGCACCUUCCCGCGCUGUCGGCUCUGUCAGCGCCGCUGUCCUGCGUCGUAGUCGCGGUGCCCGGGGCCGUGCGGGCUCUGCUCUCUUGGGAGCAGAUGGAGACUGUCCUUUGGACGGCUUUGCGGGCGGUGCCGCAGGCAGCACCCCUUUCUGCCCUGCAGGACCCUGAUCCGCAGCUCCUGAUGCCGCCCUUGUGUGCAGGGGUGAGGCCUGCUGGGAGUGUCUUGUGACUGCUGUUCCACAGAUGUGAGAGGCGACCUCAGGGAGAACUUGAUCGGGAGGUCCCAGGUGGGUCUGUGUGCAGAGGCUCCAUGGGAGGUGUCAUUUUACCAGCCUGCGGUAGGCUGUGGGGCCCGAGGUGGCAGACUUCCCAGCCUGCUUUCUGGCUCACGUCUGUGAGGGUAUUGUUGCUGACUGGGCGCUCGGUGCGGUCAUCCAUCUGCAGCAGGCUGACUGGCUGCCUUCUGUGCUGUGCACCUGCCGAUGAGUUCCGGAAGCAGAAACCCCGCAGUGGUGUCUUCACUCUCUGGACUCAGACAGCCUGCUGGUGCCCCUGAGAAAUCAGCCUGGUGCUCCUGAGAGAGACAGCUUGGUGCCCCUGAGAGGAAUGUCUUGGCUCCCAGGUCAGCCUUAGAUCAGGAGCUGUUGAAGUAAGUCCCAAGGCCAUGAGUCAGGGACCCUCGGGAUGACUUGGGAUCUGGGUUUGCUGAUAUGUCUCCCCAAGAUUCUCUUGGUGUUAGUGGACAGCAGAGGAACAGAGGAUGGUGAGGGAGUCCCUGCAGAAGGCAUCCCCAGAGCACCUCCUGCUGUGACACAGAGCAUCAUGGAUCAACUCUUCACUCCACGUAGGGGAUCAGAGGGAAAGCGCUGGGGCUGGGGUCCACGUCAGCUGGCUGAGUCUUGACAACAGUGCCCUGAGAAGCCAUGGACAGGGAAGGCCAGCCCCGUGUCCCUCUGCUAUGCCUGGAAUGAUCUUAAUGACCAAGACUUUUUCUCUUGUAUUGCAGCUGCUCAUCACUUUACUCUCUGCCCACCAUUCAAUAAACCUUACAGACUCGCUGUGCCUGACUUUUAAGUCCAUAACAAGCCAUGUGCCACGUGGAGAAGUGGAUCACAGGCCAGUCUUGUUUUCACCCCCUGAGCCUCUCCUGUCAUGCUCCUGGGGCUCGGCACACAGGCUGUAGUUGCAUUAGGACUGAGACAGUAGCUGGCUCAGAUUCAGGGCCCGUGAAAGAAUGGAAGGUUCGAGGAAUAGUCAGGCCAGGGCUUUGAAGGGUGGCUGGUGACAGUGGGCUGGAGUGAGGCAGGCACCGAUGUCCAUGAGGAAGCUGGGUUGGCCCGAGUUCUGGCUCCUGGCUCAUGAGUAAAUGCCUGCUUUUGUGGUCAACCGACCUGGUUUGCCUGGGAUUGAGGGGUUUCCCAGGACAUGGGACUUGAUUGUUAAAUCCAGAAAAGUCCUGGGCAAACUGGAAGGAGUUGGUCAUCUUAACCUCGGGAGUCAAAUACAUGAUGUCAGCCUGAGAGGACAGGUUACUGAGUAAAGGCGGGAGGGAGCAGGGUGAAGGUGGAGCAGCCACUGUUGGUGGAACUUGUGGCUAUCCUCAAGGUCAGGCUUUUGGAGGUAAUUGUGGUAAGUCAAUAAUAGCAGUAAUGUGAUUAUGGUCUAAGGAUGUGCAUGUGUGAACUUUUUAAUUCCCAUAUUAUAGAUGGAUGGGUCUCUGUGAGGAAAUAGGUCCCAAAGGCCAUGAUGAAAGGCUGGAGUUAAUUGUCCAAUUUCUGCACUUGAACUUGCCUUGAUGAAUUUGACACCUUGAUGGGCUCCUUUUCAGGGGCAGGCAGGUGUUCU
Molecule: long non-coding RNA, 1962 nt
Organism: Callorhinus ursinus (northern fur seal)
Lineage: Eukaryota; Metazoa; Chordata; Mammalia; Carnivora; Otariidae
Source: RefSeq, a predicted model, not a curated record